This 415-nucleotide ribosomal RNA is filed under the name uncultured bacterium. Its description in RNAcentral is "bacterial SSU rRNA". It matches the Rfam family "Bacterial small subunit ribosomal RNA", at positions 335 to 742 of the family's 1533-position model. The record is from RNAcentral.
ACUCCUACGGGAGGCAGCAGUGGGGAAUAUUGCACAAUGGGGAAACCCUGAUGCAGCCAUGCCGCGUGUGUGAAGAAGGCCUUCGGUUGUAAAGCACUUUCAGUAGGGAGGAAGGUAGUGUAGUUAACACCUGCAUUAUUUGACGUUACCUACAGAAGAAGCACCGGCUAACUCCGUGCCAGCAGCCGCGGUAAUACGGAGGGGUGCGAGCGUUAAUCGGAAUUACUGGGCGUAAAGCGCAUGCAGGCGGCCUGUUAAGUCAGAUGUGAAAGCCCGGGGGCUUAACCUCGGAAUUGCAUUUGAAACUGGCAGGCUAGAGUCUUGUAGAGGGGGUAGAAGUUUCAGGUGUAGCGGUGAAAUGCGUAGAGAUCUGAAGGAAUACCAGUGGCGAAGGCGGCCCCCUGGACAAAGACUG